RNAcentral lists this transfer RNA (85 nucleotides) under Halobacteriales archaeon QS_5_70_17. Its description in RNAcentral is "tRNA-Leu". It matches the Rfam family "tRNA". Rfam says of the family: Transfer RNA (tRNA) molecules are approximately 80 nucleotides in length. Their secondary structure includes four short double-helical elements and three loops (D, anti-codon, and T loops). Lineage: Archaea; Methanobacteriati; Methanobacteriota; Halobacteria; Halobacteriales. The record is from RNAcentral.
GCGGGAGUGGCCGAGUCCGGCCAAAGGCGGCGGACUUAAGAUCCGCUCACUCAGGUGUUCGUGGGUUCGAAUCCUACCUCCCGCA